Molecule: unclassified non-coding RNA, 347 nt
Filed under: soil metagenome
Description: partial contains 5.8S ribosomal RNA, internal transcribed spacer 2, and large subunit ribosomal RNA
Rfam family: 5.8S ribosomal RNA (bases 1-120)
Source: RNAcentral
GAUGAAGAACGUAGCGAAAUGCGAUAAGUAAUGUGAAUUGCAGAAUUCAGUGAAUCAUCGAAUCUUUGAACGCACAUUGCGACCGCCAGUAUUCUGGCGGGCAUGCCUGUCUGAGCGUCAUUUCAACCCUCAUGCCCCUAGGGCGUGGUGUUGGGGAUCGGCCAAAGCCCGCGAGGGACGGCCGGCCCCUAAAUCUAGUGGCGGACCCGUCGUGGCCUCCUCUGCGAAGUAGUGAUAUUCCGCAUCGGAGAGCGAUGAGCCCCUGCCGUUAAACCCCCAACUUUCCAAGGUUGACCUCAGAUCAGGUAGGAAUACCCGCUGAACUUAAGCAUAUCAAUAAGCGGAGA